RNAcentral lists this ribosomal RNA (105 nucleotides) under uncultured bacterium. RNAcentral describes it as "partial 16S ribosomal RNA". It matches the Rfam family "Bacterial small subunit ribosomal RNA", at positions 1379 to 1482 of the family's 1533-position model. The record is from RNAcentral.
CCUUGUACACACCGCCCGUCACACCACGAAAGCUGGAUGGACCUGAAAUCGUUGACCCAACCCGCAAGGGGGGAGGCGCCAACGGUCUGUUCGAUGAUUGGGGUG